GGGGGCGAAACGGCUUCGACGGGGGUAAAGAAGCAUAGGUUGCAUACCGAGCACCUGCCAGCUCGUAAAAAGGGUGGGACCUAAAAUAAUCGCAGAUGAUUAUAACUACGCCUUAGCCGCUUAAUGCGGCUAACGUCCUUCCGGAUUUUUCCUGCGAGUCCGGAAAGGGCGUCGACAAGCAGGAUAGCCUCUAUCGGUUGCUUGUUACGCAUGAGGCAAAAUUCAAAACAAGCUAGCCCCUUAAGCAUCCGGCCUGAAGGAGCCUUGAGGAGCGAAUAUUAAAUCUCAGGCUACGUAUGUAGAAGCCUAUGUAGACUAUCACCGGACGCGGGUUCGACUCCCGCCGCCUCCACCA
Molecule: transfer-messenger RNA, 355 nt
Filed under: Desulfobacterales bacterium
Lineage: Bacteria; Pseudomonadati; Thermodesulfobacteriota; Desulfobacteria; Desulfobacterales
Rfam family: transfer-messenger RNA
About the family: Bacterial tmRNA, also known as 10Sa RNA or SsrA, is named for its dual tRNA and mRNA-like properties.
Source: RNAcentral